RNAcentral lists this ribosomal RNA (500 nucleotides) under Aquitalea sp. Its description in RNAcentral is "bacterial SSU rRNA". It matches the Rfam family "Bacterial small subunit ribosomal RNA", at positions 841 to 1340 of the family's 1533-position model. The record is from RNAcentral. Lineage: Bacteria; Pseudomonadati; Pseudomonadota; Betaproteobacteria; Neisseriales; Chromobacteriaceae.
UGGUAGCGUAGCUAACGCGAGAAGUUGACCGCCUGGGGAGUACGGCCGCAAGGUUAAAACUCAAAGGAAUUGACGGGGACCCGCACAAGCGGUGGAUGAUGUGGAUUAAUUCGAUGCAACGCGAAAAACCUUACCUGGUCUUGACAUGUACAGAACUUUCCAGAGAUGGAUUGGUGCCCGAAAGGGAGCUGUAACACAGGUGCUGCAUGGCUGUCGUCAGCUCGUGUCGUGAGAUGUUGGGUUAAGUCCCGCAACGAGCGCAACCCUUGCCAUUAGUUGCUACCAUUCAGUUGAGCACUCUAAUGGGACUGCCGGUGACAAACCGGAGGAAGGUGGGGAUGACGUCAAGUCCUCAUGGCCCUUAUGACCAGGGCUUCACACGUCAUACAAUGGUCGGUACAGAGGGUAGCCAAGCCGCGAGGUGGAGCCAAUCUCAUAAAACCGAUCGUAGUCCGGAUCGCACUCUGCAACUCGAGUGCGUGAAGUCGGAAUCGCUAGUA